UACGUAGGGGGCAAGCGUUGUCCGGAUUUAUUGGGCGUAAAGAGCGUGUAGGCGGUCAGGUAGGUCCGUUGUGAAAACUCGAGGCUCAACCUCGAGACGUCGGCGGAAACCAUCUGGCUAGAGUCCGGAAGAGGAGAGUGGAAUUCCUGGUGUAGCGGUGAAAUGCGCAGAUAUCAGGAAGAACACCCGUGGCGAAGGCGGCUCUCUGGGACGGUACUGACGCUGAGGAGCGAAAGCGUGGGGAGCAAACAGG
This 253-nucleotide ribosomal RNA is filed under the name uncultured bacterium. RNAcentral describes it as "partial 16S ribosomal RNA". It matches the Rfam family "Bacterial small subunit ribosomal RNA", at positions 524 to 776 of the family's 1533-position model. The record is from RNAcentral.